UAGGGCGUUUAGUAUUUGGUCGUAGACCCGAAACCAGGUGAUCUACCCUUGGUCAGGUUGAAGUUCAGGUAACACUGAAUGGAGGACCGAACCGACUUACGUUGAAAAGUGAGCGGAUGAACUGAGGGUAGCGGAGAAAUUCCAAUCGAACCUGGAGAUAGCUGGUUCUCUCCGAAAUAGCUUUAGGGCUAGCCUCAAGUGAUGAUUAUUGGAGGUAGAGCACUGUUUGGACGAGGGGCCCCUCUCGGGUUACCGAAUUCAGACAAACUCCGAAUGCCAAUUAAUUUAACUUGGGAGUCAGAACAUGGGUGAUAAGGUCCGUGUUCGAAAGGGAAACAGCCCAGACCACCAGCUAAGGUCCCAAAAUAUAUGUUAAGUGGAAAAGGAUGUGGCGUUGCCCAGACAACUAGGAUGUUGGCUUAGAAGCAGCCAUCAUUUAAAGAGUGCGUAAUAGCUCACUAGUCGAGUGACACUGCGCCGAAAAUGUACCGGGGCUAAACAUAUUACCGAAGCUGUGGAUUGUCCUUUGGACAAUGGUAGGAGAGCGUUCUAAGGGCGUUGAAGCAUGAUCGUAAGGACAUGUGGAGCGCUUAGAAGUGAGAAUGCCGGUGUGAGUAGCGAAAGACGGGUGAGAAUCCCGUCCACCGAUUGACUAAGGUUUCCAGAGGAAGGCUCGUCCGCUCUGGGUUAGUCGGGUCCUAAGCUGAGGCCGACAGGCGUAGGCGAUGGAUAACAGGUUGAUAUUCCUGUACCACCUAUAAUCGUUUUAAUCGAUGGGGGGACGCAGUAGGAUAGGCGAAGCGUGCGAUUGGAUUGCACGUCUAAGCAGUAAG
Molecule: ribosomal RNA, 833 nt
Filed under: Staphylococcus aureus
Lineage: Bacteria; Bacillati; Bacillota; Bacilli; Caryophanales; Staphylococcaceae
Description: partial 23S ribosomal RNA
Rfam family: Bacterial large subunit ribosomal RNA
Source: RNAcentral